This 253-nucleotide ribosomal RNA is filed under the name uncultured bacterium. Its description in RNAcentral is "partial 16S ribosomal RNA". It matches the Rfam family "Bacterial small subunit ribosomal RNA", at positions 524 to 776 of the family's 1533-position model. The record is from RNAcentral.
UACAGAGGGGGCAAGCGUUGUUCGGAAUUACUGGGCGUAAAGGGCGCGUAGGCGGCCUUCUAAGUCGAACGUGAAAUCCCCGGGCUCAACCCGGGAACUGCGUCCGAUACUGGAAGGCUUGAAUCCGGGAGAGGGAUGUGGAAUUCCAGGUGUAGCGGUGAAAUGCGUAGAUAUCUGGAGGAACACCGGUGGCGAAGGCGACAUCCUGGACCGGUAUUGACGCUGAUGCGCGAAAGCCAGGGGAGCAAACGGG